Long non-coding RNA from Brassica napus (rape), 5921 nucleotides. RefSeq lists it as uncharacterized. NCBI's taxonomy places the organism in Eukaryota, Viridiplantae, Streptophyta, Magnoliopsida, Brassicales, Brassicaceae. The record is from RefSeq and is a predicted model, not a curated record. The transcript has 5 exons.
UUGAGUAUUAAACUAGGUAGAAAAAUUUUGGAUAUAAAAAAAAUUAGGGCACUUCUCCUAAAUAGAUUCUUUUGAGUUUUUGUCUCAAAAAUAGACUUUGAAAUGGAAGAUCACUUAAAUAACCUUCAUUAACUGUUCAAAAGACUUUAAUACCCUCAAUUAAUAAUAUAUCAAACAAAACAAAAAGAAACGAAAAAAAACUCGUCUUAUCUAGCUUGUCAACGUUCUCUAUCGCUCGACGGUUACGACGUCUGCCAUCGAUACGCCGGAGACAAAUCGAACCACUAUGUCACAGUCUUUACAAUCAAAAUAGGAAUCUAUAGAUGUAAGUUCUGAAUGUUUUCUCUUCAAAAUCGAAAUCAGGGGUUUUGAUUGAAAAUUUAAGAAUUUUCUCUUCUUAGUGUUUUUGAAUUGAAAAUUAGGGGUUUCGAUUUGUUGUUCUUCUGAUAAUAGAUUUGAACUUGUUUUUGUUGUUCAAAUCCAACAGAGAGAACAUAAUCAGAAUUACAAAGAAGGAAUCUCAUGAAGCUUCAUUUACAGAAUCAAUUGGCUUACCGAAGAAGUUGAGUUCGUGACCUUGCUUUUUGGUAAGCCAUUUUGAAUCUUUGAUGUUCCUAGUUUGUUUUGACCAAUGAUUUAUUUCUCUCAGAUUCGAAUUUUUUUAAGUCUGAUUGCGUGAUAUGAUAUCGUUUCAAACAUGUGUGUGUCGAUGUAUUAGUUCUCUUGUUCCUCUAAAAAUUGUAUCUUUUUCUUGUUAAGAACACACAUGAAAAUUAUUGCUUUUUCUUGUUCUUGUUAUUCGCAAGUGUAAUGUGCCUCAUUAAACUGAUUGGUACUGUUUGUAGCUGAAGAGAAACAUCAUUACCCGAGAAGUUGUUCUGGUAAAGAGAAAGCUCUGUUGCGUUUGUUGCCAGCGAGGGAAAGGGGCUUGGAAGUUCUUGGAGCUCAAAUCAAAGGCUGCUUAGUUGGUACCUUCGACUAUGUUGUUUGCCAGAUAUAGUUGAGUUACAUCAGAUGCUAUUUUCGAGAACCAGCUGUGUGGUAUUUUUAGUUGUUUGGUUUACGUAUGUUUGCUUGUGCUUGUGAAACUGUCUAGUGUUUUUUAACUUUCAGGAAGAAUUUGGGUAGUUUUAGGAAAGCUUUCCCGAAAAUCCGAUGUUAACAAAUUUUAAACUUUUUACGCAUGUUGAUAUCUUUAGUAGGCUCAUGAAUUUGCUUAUGACAUUGUUAGUCUCUUGUUGCUUGUGCUUGUGAAACUGUGUUGUGUUUUAAAAAUUUCAGGAAGGAUUUGUGUAGUUUCAGGAAAGCUUUCCCAAAAAUCUGAUGGUAACAAAUUUGAUUUUUUUUUUUUUUGCUUGGUUACGCAGGAUAGUAACAAGAUGAGAGAGUAACAAGAUGAGAGAUUCAUUACCUCUCAAACUAGCACUGCCUGGGCUGAAGUACCCUAUUGGUUCAGAACCAAAAGAAAGAUUGUCAAUAAACCAACAUUCAAACAAUAAAAAUAAAAUAUUGGUACUUACAUCAUUAUAAACAUGUUUUUCCAGGAUGCUACAGAGCCUUUGACUGUUAUCAUUUCGCCAAACAAUAAAAAGGUAAACACAAGUAAUUUUUGUAUGCUUUUGUACGUGUUCAUGAUCUCCUUCCUGAUUUUUUUUUGCAUAUGGAAACAGAGGCAACAAAUGAGAAACUUGCCUUUCCAUAGCUCAACCGAGUACUGAGACUCCAUUUUUUAUUCCAAAUCAGACGCAACAGUCAAUGAAUGAGACACCUGCCUCUCCAAUAGCUCAACCGAGUAUUGAGACUCUAGUUUUUACUCCAAAUCAGACGCAAGAGCUAUAUGCUCAAAAUAUUGAAGUUUUCAAGUAAUUUUUGGAAGAUUUUGUACGUGUUCAUGAUCGCCUUCCUGAGUUUUACAGAACGAGGUGGAGCCAUCAUAUGAGACGCCAUCCAAGCCGAAUCAAGCAAAAGAAAAUCUUGACGAUGAGGUCAAAUGUAUUCUUAAAUUAUAGUUGAAUGUAUUUUAGAAGAAGAACUAUUGGUAUCUAUAUCAUUAUGAAUAUGUUUUUCCAGGAUACUAUAGAGUUUUUGACUGAGAUCAUUUCAACAAACAAUGAAAAGGAAAAUACACAAGCUUUGGAUAACCCACAUGCCCCUACAAUGUCCACACCAAUUCUUGAUCAAAAUCAGAAUGCUGAUGCUGAGACACAGACUGGAUCUCAAGUUCUUCCACCUAAAGUGACACAACAAGGCCUUCCUGAUUGUUGCAGCAAGUACCAAUUUUUUUUUCGUCAGAGAGAGGGAGAGAGAGAGAGAAAGAGAGAGAGCCAUCGGAUGAGAUGCCAUCCCAGCCGAAUCAAGCAGAAGAAAAUCUUGACAAUGACAUAAGAUUUAUUCUGAAAUUAUAGUUGAAUGUAUUUUGGAAGAGAAACUAUUGUUAUUUAUAUCAUUAUAAACAUGUUUUUCAUGGAUACUACAGAGCCUAUAGAAUUAUGAACAUGUUUUUUUCCAGGAUGAUACAGAGCCUUUGAUUGUGAUCAUUUCGCCAAACAAUAAAAAGGUAAACACAAGUAAUAUUUGAAAGCUUUUGUACGUGUUACUGAUAAGCUUUUGUACGUGUUAAUGAUCCCCUUCUUGAUUUUUUUUUUUGCAGAUGGGAACAGAGGCAACGAAUAAGACAUCUGCCUCUCCAAUAGCUCAACCGAGUACUGAGACUCCAGUUUUACUCUAAAUCAGACACAGCAGGUACAUGCUCAAAAUCUUGGAGUUUUCAAGUAAUUUUUGGAAGCUUUUGUACGUGUUCAUGAUUCCCUUCCUGAUUUUCUUUGCAGAUGGGAACAGAGGCAAUGAAUGAGACACCUGCCUCUAUAAUAGCUCAACCGAGUACUGAGACUCUGGUUUUUUACUCCAAAUCAGACGCAAAAUUUUUUACUUUCCAAUAGCUGAACCGAGUACCUACCUUUUGCAGAUGCUAGUGUGUGGUUCGUAUUUCUAUGUGUUGUAUCACAUUUAUGCUCAUGCACAUAUUUCUUAACCACAAAAAAAAUCUGAACAAGCAGUUUAGUGGCACGCAUUCUCAACGAGCAAUUGUCACCAACACACCGCAAUACAACUCUUGACUUGUUAGAAUAGAAAAUCUUGUACUCAAACUUCCACUCUAAAGCCCAUUUCUUCAUCCUAAACAUUAACUCUCCCUUGCUCUUAAAAUAAUUAUUCACCUUAAGAGCGCCAUCUUCUCUCGUGGUUGGUGAAAGUACAAUAUGGACAUGACUAAAAUCCGGAUUAGGAUUAAGAGGAACUGCAGAGAUACCUUGACAAGGAAGAGUCGCAAAAUUCAAUUUGUUUAGGAAGGAUUAGUACAAGAUUAGGAAGGCUAUCAUGAAUAGUAUAAUAAAGAAGAAAAUCAAACAAACACAUAAAGAGAUUUGAAACAAUGUACAUGUUGUUCUCUCUGUACAGUAGAACCAAAAUUUAGAAUAGAAUUCAAAAGAAUUGGAGAAAACCAUGUAUCUCUAGUUUGCUUGUUAGAGCUAGCUGAAUCAUGAAGAACCUGCAAGAUUCAAUGUUUUUAGAAGGUUUAAUACAUAAUUAGGAAAGCUAUCCAGAAUAGUGCAUUUUUAUAUUUGUUGAUAUAAAGCAAAAACCUUUAUACACAACCGACAGAUUCUUUCAAAUACUCUAAUCUUUCUGAUGAAACUUCUUAGUUAGCGAGUGUUUCCAAUGGAAGUUGGGGAACAUCUUCAAUUGUGCUUUUCAACUUUAAAGAAAUCUCAUAGCUCCAGGUAAUGUCUUCCACUUGAAUAAAGAAAUUUUCAGAAACCAUCUUCAACAAAUCUUCAUAUUGAAGAUCUUCUUCUAAAUUAAUAAACGAUGCAGUCCUGUUCUUAUCCACAACAAACUCAUACAAGAACACAUUUUACGUAUUUUGGAUGACUUCAUAAAAACCAAAAAAAAAAUGUUAUAGACGUUGGAUUGUAAAUUUUUGGAUGGAUUUCCAGAAAUAUAUAUUAGUGUAUUUCUGUCUAGCAAAGUUUAAACGAUGUAUAAAACUACAUCAGUUAGUGUAGAAACAUCAAUGAAGUUUUGAGAGUAUCAGAAGCUUCAGCUAUCUUGAAGCAUUCUUAAGAAUUUUAUCAAGAAAAUCAUGUGAUACUAUUAUAAGGCAUAUAUGUUAUCUAAGAUAUCCAUCAAAAUAUUUUAAAGACAAAGUAUUGAUCUCACAUGUGUUCCAUAGAAUAAUAAUGGUCACAAAGAAAAAUGAUUACUUUUUUGGAGCUGAUGAGGGUCUCUCAUUUUUGUAUAUGUUCUGCUGAUACACUUCGUCUCUAAAAAGAACUAAUCUCUCCUCACAAUAGAAUUGUAAUAUCUCUCUUAAGUUAGCUUCACUGAGACACUGACCAGUCGGGUUUCUGGGUUAAAGAUCAGCAUUGCCCUUACCUGCCAUUAACCAUGUCUCUUAACCAAUAAAGAAGCUUCUGCAUCAACAGUUCUACUCACUGUUAUUUCUUGAGAGCGAGGCUGAGCAACAAAAAGCUUCUUCCUUUUUUGGGUUUUCCUUUGCUUAAGUUUUGUAGUUGGUGAAGCCGGAGUAUCUAGCUUCUUUGUUUUCUCAUAUUUUGACUUCAUGUUCUUCUUCUUCUUCUUUUUCAGUUUCAUCUCUGGUAGUUUCCUCUGAAGCUUGUUUCCGGUAGGACCAAGAACUGAUCAGAACUCCCACUCACCGGAAUCGGGACGGAACCGGCAUUGACCUGAUUCUCACCUGAAAAAAUAUGCUUCGAUAUCCACAAACCCAACAAUGAAUCUACUAAGUUUGUUAAUUUCAAAACAAGUUUAGAGAGUGUAGUAUUGAAAAAUCUGCACUUUAACAACACCACUUUAAGGAUCCUUCUAGCAAACCAAACCAAUCUUCUUACAUGUGUCACGAGAAAAACAGUGAUAUAAACAAUGAGAGAAAGUGAUGAAAAUCACAGAGAAUAGACUUGGAACUGUGAAGAUAACAACACCCUUUUGACUUCGGAAAAUCAAGAAAAAGAAUAAGCUUUCUGAUGAAGAGAGAACCUCUGAUUGUAUACUGAAAUUUCGUCACGUCUCCGUUGAGGGACUCGUAGUCUACUAGUUUGAGAGACAUUUUCAGAAUUGACUUUUCACACAAAUAGCAAACACGCUUAUCUCGAUUGCGGAGUGAAGGUGGAGAUGAUUAAAGUGGUGAUGAUGGCGAUGGAGAUGAGCGGCGCCGAAGAUGAUGACGGACGAGAUGAUCAACGCCGGAGAUAAUGACGUCCGAGAUGAUUGACGCCGGAGAUAAUGACGGCCGAGAUGAUCUACGCCGGAGAUGAGGCAAGUUGUCGCCGUCGAUUUUGUGAUUUCAAUUUUUAGAAAAAAAAUAUAAUUAGAGAAAGAAAUGGGUAAAAUGAUAAAUGUCCAUAUUAAAUGAAACAUUUUUGAGGUUUUGGGCCUUAAAAUCUAGAAUGAGAAGAAAAAGUUGGUAUAGAGUUAUCUAAGACCAUUUCUCAAAAUUUUUAACGAAAUUGAAAUUUAGUAAGAGAAUUUUUAUAGAAUUUUUCUUUUUGUAAAGUUACUAAUUUUGUCUUUACGUUUUCUUAUUGACAUCUUGUCUUUGUGCUAAACUUACAAGUUGUGACUUAGAUUGUUAUGUUUUGAUAUCAUCACAACCAAAUAACAUGCCAUGUAUUUCCAUCAUCAUUAUCGUUAUCAUUAUUUUGCCAACAUUAUUAUCAAUUUAUCACUGUUUUGUUAAAUAACGUAUUUCCAUUAUACGGUUCCUUUGUUGUUGAUAUUAUAUAAUAUAAAAGGUCACAUGUAUUACUAUUAUCGAACAUGACAUAAUAUAAGGAUUAUUAGAGCGGAAGCUAAAUAAAAUUUGGCUGGAUAUUGUAAUGGUGCUGCAUCAUGUUUUCUUUUUU